GAAACAGCUAAGUACGUCCUGAAUGGCACUGUAGAAAGCCCUCAACCAAGCACUGCUGAUUCUGUAAUUAGUGGAACCGUGGGUGACAAGUCUCAGCUGGAGUUUAGAGUUGCAGAAGGGGAUGUACUCCCAAAGAAGGAUGGAGGUGAUGACAAAGCUUGUAUGGUUGACAAUGAUAUAGAUUUUGCUAAUAAAGAAUUUAUAUCUGGAAGGCAAGUGUCUGAAGCUUUUGAUAAUUCCACUGAUGAUAACAAACAACUGGUAGAAAAGGGUGUACCAAAUGCUGUUUUGCCACUUCUAAGAUAUCAUCAGUGCGAAAGUUCUGAAUCUUCCUCUAGCUUCCAGGAUUCUCCUAGUGAAGAUAGACAUUUUCGAAGUGAUUUUGAUGAAACCGAAACUGAGGAAGCAUCUUUUUCUGGUCAAGAUGAUUCAAGCCAG
Molecule: unclassified non-coding RNA, 438 nt
Filed under: Hevea brasiliensis (rubber tree)
Lineage: Eukaryota; Viridiplantae; Streptophyta; Magnoliopsida; Malpighiales; Euphorbiaceae
Source: RNAcentral